This 301-nucleotide ribosomal RNA is filed under the name uncultured bacterium. RNAcentral's name for it is "partial 16S ribosomal RNA". It matches the Rfam family "Bacterial small subunit ribosomal RNA", at positions 509 to 807 of the family's 1533-position model. The record is from RNAcentral.
CAGCCGCCGCGGUAAUACGAAGGGGGCUAGCGUUGUUCGGAUUUACUGGGCGUAAAGCGCACGUAGGCGGAUCCUUAAGUCAGAGGUGAAAUCCCAAGGCUCAACCUUGGAACUGCCUUUGAUACUGGGGAUCUCGAGUUCGGGAGAGGUGAGUGGAACUGCGAGUGUAGAAGUGAAAUUCGUAGAUAUUCGCAAGAACACCAGUGGCGAAGGCGGCUCACUGGCCCGGUACUGACGCUGAGGUGCGAAAGCGCGGGGAGCAAACAGGAUUAGAUACCCCGGUAGUCCCUGUCUCUUAUAC